CAAUAGCGUAUAUUAAAGUUGUUGCAGUUAAAAAGCUCGUAGUUGGAUUUCUGGUUGGAGCGACCGGUCGGGCAUUGAUUUGUCUGCACUGGAGUCGGUUCUGGCCAUCCUCUUGGAAAGUGCGUCUGUCAUUAAGUUGUCGGGCGUAUGAUCCAGGUCUUUUACUGUGAAAAAAUUAGAGUGUUUAAAGCAGGCCUUCGCCUUGAAUACAUUAGCAUGGAAUAAUAAGAUAGGACUUUGGUCUAUUUUGUUGGUUUGCAGACCGAAGUAAUGAUUAAUAGGGAUAGUUGGGGGUAUUUAUAUUCCGAUGUCAGAGGUGAAAUUCUUAGAUUUUCGGAAGAUAAACUUAUGCGAAAGCAUUUACCAAGGAUGUUUUCAUUA
This 381-nucleotide ribosomal RNA is filed under the name uncultured eukaryote. Its description in RNAcentral is "partial 18S ribosomal RNA". It matches the Rfam family "Eukaryotic small subunit ribosomal RNA", at positions 592 to 975 of the family's 1831-position model. The record is from RNAcentral.